Cyprinus carpio carpio is the source of this 1730-nucleotide long non-coding RNA. Lineage: Eukaryota; Metazoa; Chordata; Actinopteri; Cypriniformes; Cyprinidae. The record is from Ensembl.
UAUGGCCAAAUGUUUUGUUUAUUACAGACAGUAAGAGGAAAUUAACAUAACUCAGAUUCAUGCACUUUUAUUUGAUCAUUAAAUUGAUCAAAAGUGAGAGUAAAACAUUUAUAAUGUUUCAAAAGAUUUCUAUUUCAAAUAAAAGCUGUUCUUUUGAACUUUCUAUUCAUCUCUGAAUCCUGAAAAAUAAAAUGCAUCAGUUUCCUCAAAAAUAUUGAGCAGCACAACUGUGUUCAACAUUGAUAAUAAUCAGAAAUGUUUCUUGAGCAGCAGAUCAGCAUAUUAUUAUGAUUUCUGAAGAUCAUGUGACACUGAAGACUGGAGUAAUGAUGCUGAAAAUACAGCUGCGCAUCACAGAAAUAAAUUACACUUUAACAGAUACUCACAUAGAAAACAGCUGUUUUACAUCACAAUAAUAUUUCAUCCAUUUUUACUGUAUUUUGAUCAAAUAAGUGCAGCCUUGAUGAGCAGAAGAGACUUCUUUCAAAAAAAAAAAAAAAAAAAACUCUUACUAACCCCAACAUUUUCGAUGGCUAUGUACAGUUUGGAUUUAUUCCUUGGUUUUAUUAAUGUUUAAUUCUGUUAAAAAUAAAACAGCUGUGGCACAGAAAACCUGGGAAUAUCAGGCAUUUCAGUUUGAAAAAUGAUGGCAAUAUUUAGUAAGACUUUUUCUAUUAUUACUUGUAUGUAAAAACUGAAAGAGCCAGAAGAGGCUCUUGUGGAUUUGCGUGUUUGAAUUACAAAGCAAGAAAGUGGGAGAGAGCUGACGAAGGCAAGGGAAUGGUUCUGUCCAUCUGUGAAGCGCUCGUUUGACGACAGACUGUGAGUUUGUCCCGCUCCUGAGACAGAUGGUUGCUGGGGGACUCUGAUAACAGGACAGCAGGUCAACGCCGAGGCUGCGCUCCAACUCAACAUGUGUGUUUAUCUGUCAUGUCCAAAUGUCAUAUUCAAGUGCUGGAGGUUUAUUAGCCACAGAAUCUGGUGCGAAUCAUCGGCGUCAUCAGGAAAAUAUGAGCAGCAUCACGCUGACAAAUCUGCUGCUUUAUUCCCGCUUGUGAAAGUGCUUCUGAACAACUGAACAUCACUGGAAAGACUUCUCUGCUGCAUUCAGAGUCCUUAUUCAUCUGUUAAUAUUACUGCUGUUCAUACUCAUGUGUGAUCUCUGAUGGAUGUAGUGUUUCAGAUCCAGCGUUCACUAAUGGAGUGGAAGAAAAGCUUGAGCUCUGAAACAUGAAAAACAGACUCAGAAAUAAACAAGGUAUAUUUAUAUUAUAUUACUCAAAUGUGUAAGAUAAUGUUAUGAAAUGGACAUAUAACGUUAUAAAGUGACCAAAGGCUAAAACACAUCAUGUGUCUCCCUAAAUAUAGUGAUUCUCGGUGAAUCUUCUGAACGAUUCAGAUCAUGUCCAGAAAUAUGACCCUUCACCUAGUGAUAAUUAAAGCUUGUCGGUGGCCGCAGGAAGUGAUGCGAUGUCAUUCCCUGAUGUCAUCCGUCUCCCUGGCAACAAUGACAACUGCCAAUGUGACCCAUCAUGAGCGAGAAGAUGAAGAUGAGGGACUGAGAGACGACACCAUGGUGGAGGAAGGGGCCAAAUGUUCACCGGGGUACAGGAAGCUGCCAUUGUAAACUUGGUUUUGGAAAAUAAUGAAAUCAGAUUAUGAGAAAUUCAAACACAUCAUCCAAGACAACACCUUAUUCAACAACAUUCAACAAGUCAGUCUGUCCACAU